RNAcentral lists this ribosomal RNA (253 nucleotides) under uncultured bacterium. RNAcentral's name for it is "partial 16S ribosomal RNA". It matches the Rfam family "Bacterial small subunit ribosomal RNA", at positions 524 to 776 of the family's 1533-position model. The record is from RNAcentral.
UACGUAGGGAGCAAGCGUUGUCCGGAAUCAUUGGGCGUAAAGCGCGCGUAGGUGGCCCGGUAAGUCCGCUCUGAAAGUCAAAGGCUCAACCUUUGAAAGCGGGUGGAUACUGCCAGGCUAGAGUCCGGAAGAGGCGAGUGGAAUUCCUGGUGUAGCGGUGGAAUGCGCAGAUAUCAGGAGGAACACCGAUGGCGAAGGCAGCUCGCUGGGACGGUACUGACGCUGAGGCGCGAAAGCGUGGGGAGCGAACAGG